RNAcentral lists this ribosomal RNA (292 nucleotides) under uncultured bacterium. Its description in RNAcentral is "partial 16S ribosomal RNA". It matches the Rfam family "Bacterial small subunit ribosomal RNA", at positions 505 to 796 of the family's 1533-position model. The record is from RNAcentral.
GUGUCAGCCGCCGCGGUAAGACAGAGGUGGCAAGCGUUGCUCGGAGUUACUGGGCUUAAAGGGCGCGUAGGCGGUCGUGCACGUCGGAGGUGAAAUCCCCGGGCUCAACCCGGGAACUGCCUUCGAUACGGCGCGACUCGAGUGCUGGAGGGGAGAGUGGAACUCCUGGUGGAGCGGUGAAAUGCGUAGAUAUCAGGAGGAACGCCGGUGGCGAAAGCGACUCUCUGGACAGCAACUGACGCUGAGGCGCGAAAGCCAGGGGAGCAAACGGGAUUAGAUACCCCCGUAGUCC